RNAcentral lists this ribosomal RNA (453 nucleotides) under uncultured bacterium. Its description in RNAcentral is "bacterial SSU rRNA". It matches the Rfam family "Bacterial small subunit ribosomal RNA", at positions 340 to 786 of the family's 1533-position model. The record is from RNAcentral.
UACGGAAGGCAGCAGUGGGGAAUAUUGCACAAUGGGCGCAAGCCUGAUGCAGCCAUGCCGCGUGUAUGAAGAAGGGCCUUCGGGUUGUAAAGUACUUUCAGUCGUGAGGAAGGUGUUAAGGUUAAUAACCUUAGCAAUUGACGUUAGCGACAGAAGAAGCACCGGCUAACUCCGUGCCAGCAGCCGCGGUAAUACGGAGGGUGCGAGCGUUAAUCGGAAUUACUGGGCUAAAGGGCACGCAGGCGGUUAAUUAAGUUGGAUGUGAAAUCCCCGGGCUUAACCUGGGAAUGGCAUUCAAGACUGGUUAGCUAGAGUCUUGUAGAGGGGGUAGAAUUCCAUGUGUAGCGGUGAAAUGCGUAGAGAUGUGGAGGAAUACCGGUGGCGAAGGCGGCCCCUGGGACAAGACUGACGCUCAUGUGCGAAAGCGUGGGGAGCAAACGAGGAUUAGAUACC